This is a non-coding RNA of Podarcis lilfordi (Lilford's wall lizard), 73 nucleotides long. The record is from the annotation of a GenBank genome assembly. Lineage: Eukaryota; Metazoa; Chordata; Lepidosauria; Squamata; Lacertidae.
GACCAGUGUGGCGUAGCGGUUAGAGUGUUGGACUAGGACCUGGGAGACUGGGGUUCAAAUCCCCACUUGGCCA